ACUCCUACGGGAGGCAGCAGUGGGAAUAUUGGACAAUGGGGGCAACCCUGAUCCAGCCAUGCCGCGUGUGUGAAGAAGGCCUUUUGGUUGUAAAGCACUUUAAGCAGUGAAGAAGACCUAACGGUUAAUACCCGUUAGCGAUGACAUUAGCUGCAGAAUAAGCACCGGCUAACUCUGUGCCAGCAGCCGCGGUAAUACAGAGGGUGCAAGCGUUAAUCGGAAUUACUGGGCGUAAAGCGAGCGUAGGUGGCUUGAUAAGUCAGAUGUGAAAUCCCCGGGCUUAACCUGGGAACUGCAUCUGAUACUGUUAAGCUAGAGUAGGUGAGAGGGAAGUAGAAUUCCAGGUGUAGCGGUGAAAUGCGUAGAGAUCUGGAGGAAUACCGAUGGCGAAGGCAGCUUCCUGGCAUCAUACUGACACUGAGGUUCGAAAGCGUGGGUAGCAAACAGGAUUAGAUACCCUGGUAGGCUCUG
Molecule: ribosomal RNA, 471 nt
Filed under: uncultured bacterium
Lineage: Bacteria
Description: bacterial SSU rRNA
Rfam family: Bacterial small subunit ribosomal RNA
Source: RNAcentral